This 502-nucleotide ribosomal RNA is filed under the name uncultured bacterium. RNAcentral's name for it is "bacterial SSU rRNA". It matches the Rfam family "Bacterial small subunit ribosomal RNA", at positions 15 to 507 of the family's 1533-position model. The record is from RNAcentral.
GAUCAUGGCUCAGAUUGAACGCUGGCGGCAGGCCUAACACAUGCAAGUCGAACGGUACAGGAAACAGCUUGCUGUUUCGCUGACGAGUGGCGGACGGGUGAGUAAUGUCUGGGAAACUGCCUGAUGGAGGGGGAUAACUACUGGAAACGGUAGCUAAUACCGCAUAACGUAGCAAGACCAAAGAGGGGGACCCUCGGGCCUCUUGCCAUCGGAUGUGCCCAGAUGGGAUUAGCUUGUUGGUGGGUAACGGCUCACCAAGGCGACGAUCCCUAAGCUGGUCUGAGAGGAUGACCAGCCACACUGGAACUGAGACACGGUCCAGACUCCUACGGGAGGCAGCAGUGGGGAAUAUUGCACAAUGGGCGCAAGCCUGAUGCAGCCAUGCCGCGUGUAUGAAGAAGGCCUUCGGGUUGUAAAGUACUUUCAGCGGGGAGGAAGGGAGUAAAGUUAAUACCUUUGCUCAUUGACGUUACCCGCAGAAGAAGCACCGGCUAACUCCGUG